AAAGUUCUAUUGCCCGGCCUCAAAUAGUUGUGACUUAUACAUAAGUCCAAUUACGAUUGCUUAACAUAGCGCUAAACUUGUGAUACCAAAGGCAUGGCAUUCUAGUUAGUGAGAUUGUAAGUCUCCCCUCUUUCAUGGUAUAGUGUGGAAACUUGGCCUUCUUUCCUUCCUUUGGAAGAUGUUUUGGCUCAAGGAUUCAUGCUUGUGAUAAGUGGGAUGAGUGUUCUCCAAAGAAUAUCUAAAAAAUGAAAAGAAAAAAUAAAACAAUACUAACUUCUAACCUAUUAACUACUAACUUUUAAUUUCAAGCCUUUUACUUUAAUGCCAUUUAAUUCUAGCUCUUAUACAUUUUCCAU
This 356-nucleotide long non-coding RNA is filed under the name Lathyrus oleraceus (garden pea). RNAcentral's name for it is "Pisum sativum (pea) long non-coding RNA (PSAT_LNC030662)". The record is from RNAcentral. Lineage: Eukaryota; Viridiplantae; Streptophyta; Magnoliopsida; Fabales; Fabaceae.